Molecule: ribosomal RNA, 419 nt
Filed under: uncultured eukaryote
Lineage: Eukaryota
Description: SSU rRNA
Rfam family: Eukaryotic small subunit ribosomal RNA
Source: RNAcentral
CAAUAGCGUAUAUUAAAGUUGUUGCGGUUAAAAGCUCGUAGUUGGAUUUCUGCCGAGGACGACCGGUCCGCCCUUUGGGUGAGUAUCUGGCUCGGCCUGGGCAUCUUCUUGGAGAACGUAUCUGCACUUGACUGUGUGGUGCGGUAUCCAGGACUUUUACUUUGAGGAAAUUAGAGUGUUUCAAGCAGGCACACGCCUUGAAUACAUUAGCAUGGAAUAAUAAGAUAGGACCUCGGUUCUAUUUUGUUGGUUCUAGAGCUGAGGUAAUGAUUAAUAGGGAUAGUUAGGGCAUUCGUAUUUAACUGUCAGAGAUGACAUUCUUGGAUUUGUUAAAGACAGACUACUGCGAAAGCGUUUUGCCAAGGAUGUUUUCAUUGAUCAAGAACGAAAAUUAGGGGAUCGAAGACGAUUAGAUACCG